This 497-nucleotide ribosomal RNA is filed under the name uncultured bacterium. RNAcentral describes it as "partial 16S ribosomal RNA". It matches the Rfam family "Bacterial small subunit ribosomal RNA", at positions 28 to 507 of the family's 1533-position model. The record is from RNAcentral.
GAUGAACGCUGGCGGCGUGCCUAAUACAUGCAAGUCGAGCGAACAGACGAGGAGCUUGCUCCUUUGACGUUAGCGGCGGACGGGUGAGUAACACGUGGAUAACCUACCUAUAAGACUGGGAUAACUUCGGGAAACCGGAGCUAAUACCGGAUAACAUGUUGAACCGCAUGGUUCAACAGUGAAAGACGGUCUUGCUGUCACUUAUAGAUGGAUCCGCGCCGCAUUAGCUAGUUGGUAAGGUAACGGCUUACCAAGGCAACGAUGCGUAGCCGACCUGAGAGGGUGAUCGGCCACACUGGAACUGAAACACGGUCCAGACUCCUACGGGAGGCAGCAGUAGGGAAUCUACCGCAAUGGGCGAAAGCCUGACGGAGCAACGCCGCGUGAGUGAAGAAGGUCUUCGGAUCGUAAAACUCUGUUAUUAGGGAAGAACAAAUGUGUAAGUAACUAUGCACGUCUUGACGGUACCUAAUCAGAAAGCCACGGCUAACUACGUG